CCUGAUCCAGCCAUGCCGCUGAAUGAAGAAGCCUUCGGGUUGUAAAGUUUUUCGGCCGGGAAGAAAUCGCAUGGAUUAAUACUCUGUGCGGAUGACGGUACCGGCAUAAGAAGCACCGGCUAACUACGUGCCAGCAGCCGCGGUAAUACGUAGGGUGCGAGCGUUAAUCGGAAUUACUGGGCGUAAAGCGUGCGCAGGCGGUUUUUUAAGACAGGCGUGAAAUCCCCGGGCUCAACCUGGGAACUGCGCUUGUGACUGGAAGACUAGAGUAUGGCAGAGGGGGGUGGAAUUCCACGUGUAGCAGUGAAAUGCGUAGAGAUGUGGAGGAACACCGAUGGCGAAGGCAGCCCCCUGGGCCAAUACUGACGCUCAUGCACGAAAGCGUGGGUAGCAAACAGGAUUAGAUACCCUGGUAGUCCACGCCCUAAACGAUGUCAACUAGGUGUUGGGAGGGUAAAACCUUUUAGUACCGUAGCUAACGCGUGAAGUUGACCGCCUGGGGAGUACGGCCGCAAGGUUAAAACUCAAAGGAAUUGACGGGGACCCGCACAAGCGGUGGAUGAUGUGGAUUAAUUCGAUGCAACGCGAAAAACCUUACCUACCCUUGACAUGUCCAGGAGCCCUUAGAGAUUUGGGUGUGCCCGAAAGGGAACUGGAACACAGGUGCUGCAUGGCUGUCGUCAGCUCGUGUCGUGAGAUGUUGGGUUAAGUCCCGCAACGAGCGCAACCCUUGUCGUUAAUUGCCAUCAUUUAGUUGGGCACUUUAGCGAGACUGCCGGUGACAAACCGGAGGAAGGUGGGGAUGACGUCAAGUCCUCAUGGCCCUUAUGGGUAGGGCUUCACACGUCAUACAAUGGUCGGUACAGAGGGUUGCCAACCCGCGAGGGGGAGCCAAUCCCAGAAAGCCGAUCGUAGUCCGGAUCGUAGGCUGCAACUCGCCUGCGUGAAGUCGGAAUCGCUAGUAAUCGCGGAUCAGCAUGUCGCGGUGAAUACGUUCCCGGGUCUUGUACACACCGCCCGUCACACCAUGGGAGCGGGUUCCGCCAGAAGUAGGUAGCUUAACCGCAAGGAGGGCGCUUACCACGGCGGGGUUCGUGACUGGGGUGAAGUCGUAACAAGGUA
RNAcentral lists this ribosomal RNA (1122 nucleotides) under uncultured bacterium. RNAcentral describes it as "bacterial SSU rRNA". It matches the Rfam family "Bacterial small subunit ribosomal RNA", at positions 382 to 1498 of the family's 1533-position model. The record is from RNAcentral.